RNAcentral lists this transfer RNA (73 nucleotides) under Acidobacteriota bacterium. Its description in RNAcentral is "Acidobacteria bacterium (activated sludge metagenome) tRNA-Lys". It matches the Rfam family "tRNA". Rfam says of the family: Transfer RNA (tRNA) molecules are approximately 80 nucleotides in length. Their secondary structure includes four short double-helical elements and three loops (D, anti-codon, and T loops). Lineage: Bacteria; Pseudomonadati; Acidobacteriota. The record is from RNAcentral.
GGACCGUUAGCUCAGUUGGUAGAGCAGAUGACUCUUAAUCAUCGGGUCGCUGGUUCGAGCCCAGCACGGUCCA